GCCCGUGUCGUCUACUGGUUAAGGCGCUGCUCUGAUACGGCAGAAAAGAUAGUUCAAUUCUAUCCAUGGGUACCA
This 75-nucleotide transfer RNA is filed under the name Microbacterium phage Zooman. Its description in RNAcentral is "tRNA-Ile". It matches the Rfam family "tRNA". Rfam says of the family: Transfer RNA (tRNA) molecules are approximately 80 nucleotides in length. Their secondary structure includes four short double-helical elements and three loops (D, anti-codon, and T loops). Further hydrogen bonds mediate the characteristic L-shaped molecular structure. tRNAs have two regions of fundamental functional importance: the anti-codon, which is responsible for specific mRNA codon recognition, and the 3' end, to which the tRNAs corresponding amino acid is attached (by aminoacyl-tRNA synthetases). tRNAs cope with the degeneracy of the genetic code in two manners: having more than one tRNA (with a specific anti-codon) for a particular amino acid; and 'wobble' base-pairing, i.e. permitting non-standard base-pairing at the 3rd anti-codon position. RNAcentral also lists the same sequence under 1 other name. Lineage: Duplodnaviria; Heunggongvirae; Uroviricota; Caudoviricetes. The record is from RNAcentral.